This 29-nucleotide small RNA is filed under the name Bombyx mori (domestic silkworm). RNAcentral describes it as "ovarian small RNA-32467". Lineage: Eukaryota; Metazoa; Arthropoda; Insecta; Lepidoptera; Bombycidae. The record is from RNAcentral.
UGAUAGUCAGCGGCGAGCGCUUCCGCCUC